GUGUCAAGUGAAGUGCGAGAGUGUUCCAUCCGCCUCUUCAAAGAUGUGAUGGAGGCUGUUGUGUGGUGGCAAAAGAGAAACAUGAAGAAGAUCGUGCGCAGGGGCCUGCUCCCUCUGCUCUUUCAUAUGAAUGAUGAGACCCUGAGCGUUGCACAGGCCUCUGGAGAAACCCUCGUUGCUUGUGGCAAGUUCCUGAAGUGGAAGGAGCUCAAGCGCGUGGCCCAGGAAAUGAGCAUAGUGGGGACCAGUGAGUGUUUGCUGCAGCAGGACAGGAAGAUGGUGAAUGAAUACCUUCAGCUGAGCCUGCCGUACCUGAAGGAUUCUCAGGCCUCUUUGCGAUAUGAGGCUGUGAACUUCAUCGGGCUGGCUGUGCAGCACUCCGGGGUCCAAAGUGAGGAGAAGCUGAAUGAAAUCUGCAGCGCCCUCCAGUCUUUGGAAGAUGACGCCCAUCCAACAGUGCGUUUUGUAGCAGCUGAGACAGCCCUGCUGCUGACAUACCAAGGGCUGCAGGAAGAACCACCACGGAGCAGGCUGGCAGCGUUGUGCUGCUGGCGCUGCAGUGCCAUCUGUCGUUAAAAAUCAUACGAUCAUAGAAUUGCUCAGGUUGGAAAAGACCUUAAAGAUCAUCAAGUCCAACCACAACCUAGUCAUACUAACCUAACAACCCUUUGCUAAAUAUUGUCCUUGAACACCACAUCCCAAUGGUUUUUAGACACAUUCAGGGAUGAUGCUUCAACCACCUCCCAGGGGAGCCUAUUCCACCGCUUAACAACCCCUUCUGUAACAAAGUUUUCCAUGACAUCCAACCUAAACUUACCAUUCUGAACAUGACUUUGAUUAAAACUUGAAU
Molecule: long non-coding RNA, 850 nt
Organism: Gallus gallus (chicken)
Lineage: Eukaryota; Metazoa; Chordata; Aves; Galliformes; Phasianidae
Source: Ensembl